AACGAACGCUGGCGGCAUGCCUAACACAUGCAAGUCGAACGAGAUCUUCGGGUCUAGUGGCGCACGGGUGCGUAACGCGUGGGAAUCUGCCCUUUGGUUCGGAAUAACAGUUGGAAACGACUGCUAAUACCGGAUGAUGACGAAAGUCCAAAGAUUUAUCGCCAGAGGAUGAGCCCGCGUAGGAUUAGCUAAUUGGUGUGGUAAAGGCGCACCAAGGCGACGAUCCUUAGCUGGUCUGAGAGGAUGAUCAGCCACACUGGGACUGAGACACGGCCCAGACUCCUACGGGAGGCAGCAGUGGGGAAUAUUGGACAAUGGGCGAAAGCCUGAUCCAGCAAUGCCGCGUGAGUGAUGAAGGCCUUAGGGUUGUAAAGCUCUUUUACCAGGGAUGAUAAUGACAGUACCUGGAGAAUAAGCUCCGGCUAACUCCGUGCCAGCCGCCGCCGUAA
RNAcentral lists this ribosomal RNA (449 nucleotides) under uncultured bacterium. RNAcentral describes it as "partial 16S ribosomal RNA". It matches the Rfam family "Bacterial small subunit ribosomal RNA", at positions 29 to 523 of the family's 1533-position model. The record is from RNAcentral.